CAUCUACUUUCCUCUUCUUUUUCUUUGAUAUGAAACCUUACCAUCACACAAUCACUUUUUCCUACAGGAUGAUUGUAGUUCAUGUGUUCAACAAUGUCCACUUCUCUUAAUAAUACCAAAUUUAGUCUUUGUAGUACCUCUCCUCUUCUGUGUGUAGUGUUUUCCUUGGGCUGGCUGGCUUUCUAUCUUUCUGGUUGGCUGGCUGGCUAACUAACUGACUGGUUGGAUGCCUGGCUAACUGGCUGACCGGCUGGCUGGUUGGUUUUCCUGCUGACUAGCUGACUGGCUGGCUAUCUGGCUGACUAGUCCACUGUGGGAUAGCUGGCUGGUUGGCUGGUUGACUCCUCAAGGGCAGCUGUCCCAUCUCUCAAGUGGCCACAUUUUGCAGGCGUCCCCAACCCCUCCCGCCCUGAGUGAAGACACCCCCAGACAAAACCUCUAAGGGGGCCAAGGGGAAGGGAGCAGCCCAGGCCCUUUCCAAUGCUGAGAGAGGUGCAGCCAGCAAGGAGGCAAGCGGCUCAUCUGUCGGUGUGCGCCUACCAUACCCACAGCCACACCAACGGAGGGCCAACGACACCCAAGUCUAGCCGCAGGAACUAAUGUAGUGUGGUGACAAGUAGUGAGGUCACCACUGAAUCUGACACACCUGCUGAGCCUGACCUGGUGUCUUUCUGUGCUACCCUGGGCAACAACCGAGCCCUGCGAGUCCCUACCCUCUUCAAGCCAGACGGGGACUACCAGACUGUGGCUGACAUGGUGGGUGGCAGUCACUCCAUUACAGAGUCAACUACCAGUCACGAGGAAAGUUUGGACGAGGCCAGAAGUGCGUCAUCCCACCGCAGGUCACGGGGACAGGAACUGCAGGCCAGGCAGGGUCACCGUCCCUCCCACGGCAACCCGGAUUAUAGCUAUGCUCACCCUGUGAAGAAGCAGUACCUUCCCCCACCCCUCCACUGUCCUCCACUGACAGCAACAGGUGUAUGAGUUAGUGAUAGUGAGGUCACUGACAGACAGACUCGCCAAAUUGUUCAUUAGUAAAAGUUCCAUGGCCACUAAGUUUGUAAUCUGCUUCUGUGUUUGUAUCUUUCCAGCCUUUUUAUUCAUUGAUGUACACUUUUGCCUUUCACUGCUUCCUCCUGUAAUCCAUUCUAUAUCUUUAUAUAUUUACAUGGAAAGAUAUGUUUGCAUUAUUCUCUCUCUCUCUCUCUCUCUCUCUCUCUCUCUCUCUCUCUCUCUCUCUCUCUCUCUCUCUCUCUCUCUCUCUCUCUCUCUCUCUCUCUCUCUCUCUCUCUCUCUCUCUCUCUCUCUCUCUCUCUCUCUAAUAUUGAGAUUCAUCUCUUGUCCAUAACAAAAGGGCAUUUCUGUCUGGUUCCUCAGGUUGGUUGACUAACCCUAAAGCUGCAGGGGUUUUCACACAUUUCUCCAUUCCAUAUGUCUCUACUCCUUUGUGGAAAGAUGUAUGUUAUUUAGGCAGCUCUCUUCUGUCCAAGUUUCUUUUCAUCUUUAUCAUCAUGUGUCAAGUCAUCCAGUUCUGGCACUAUCUUAGUGGCUGUUCUUUGUAUUCUUUCAAAUCUCUACAUGAAACAUCACCGAAUUAAUUAAGCUUAGCAGAAAUUAUGUGAUGUGCCCUACUGAUGCUGGUGUGAAGGCGAGGUGUUUGUAGUGAGCCGUGUGAUGCCUUCCCCAGUGCUGAAUAUGGAGAGAGCAGCCAGGCGACAACAUACACUGAAGUUUUCUGAAGAGGAGUACGACCACCCCUCCAUCAAGCAAGCAGGAGUGGAGCCUCUGGAGCAGCUGAUGGCUGACCUGGAGCUGGAGAAGAUGGUUCAGGAUGCCAGCAAGACAGCUCUUUGACACUUCCAGUAGUGGUAGAAGCCUCCCAUCACCACCCUCACUCCUCUGCCACUGCUGACCAAAACACUGAGGCUGUAUUCUUCAGGACCUGAUUGUUGCUUGGACUUGAGGCUUCCCUGCUUGGGACUGGCAGUUCUGCAAAUGCUGUUAGUGACAGCAUCCGUAGGACAACAGUGUAGGUGGUGUCCUCUGGAGGUCCUUCACCUGCAUGGAGCUAAGUCCACCUGUUGUAAUACUUGAAUGCGUAAGUGCUCAUCUUGAAGAUUUUAAUCACUGCAGUGGUCACCAUCUCAGACCUGACUGCCACAGGUACUUACUGUACACACUGCUAUCUAUAAUCCAGUGCUUAGCAGGUUCUUGGUUAUGGUUAUCAACUAUCUGGAUAAAUUUUACACAGCACCAACCUUAAAUUACAACAUGUACACAAUAGCAAACUUUGGAGUUGUUUUAAGCAUUGCUACCAUCAGUCCAACCUAGCUAACCAACCUAACAACCUACCCUAACCUAACUCUUCCUCAACAAUGUAGAACAUAUAUUUAACCUCAACAGUGUAGAACAUGUUUAAAAUAAUUUUUUUUUCUAGAAGUUUGGGUCCCAAAGGGUGAGCAGAAAGAAACAAUUUUUAUCUCCCAUUAUGCAACAAAGUCAUUUAGGGAAUUUGGUCAUAUUACUUAAAGCAGUGUCCAAAACAUUAGUUAACGAAAUUCCAUAUGCAGUUUACAGUUUGGUCAAGAUAAAAUAAUAAGCAAAUAUGCUGCUAGUGGGCAAAUUUUUACUCUCACCAGUUUUCUAAUGUGGAUGAAACUAUUUAUUUCUCGUAUUUUUUUGCCUGUUUUGAAUCAAUAUGGUUCUUGUUUUUAUGGAAAUCAUGAGCCAUUACUUUUUACUCCCUGACCCACCAUCCCCUCAGAAACUAAUUAUUUGCAGUAAACAAAAGCAGUUAAUACAAAACAGACCGAUAUGUACAAGAAAAAGGUAGAUUGGCCCUCACAAAUAAGCAGCCACUCACUGUGGCCACCAGCCAGCUGUCACACACCACCACCUAAUCCAACCAAGUUAACCAAACUAACCUAUGUAAUCUAACAGAACGAAAUAACAUAACCUAACCAAACAAACCUAAACUAACUUGCCUCCCAAAAAUAGAUGUUUAAAAAUUGCCAUCAGCAUUAUAAAUAAUUUGCAGUGGGUAAAUAUGGGUUUAAAUUACUCAAUGACAAUCUCUAUCUGAUGAGAAAAGUAAGAAAAGCCAUGUUGAGACUGGUGAAAGAGUGAAAGAAUUCCCUACUGUGUGGCCUGGAACCAUAAGCCAUAACUUCACUCACUGGCAGGAGCACUCACACCUGUUUGGUUAUAUCACAGCAAUUCCAUCCCUAUAGCUCUCUAGGCCCCUGAUGUGUCAACCACACCAUGCUAGGUUCGCAACUAUGCUAACAAGAGUGUGAUAGGCAAAGCUGAUGAACUCACUAGUGCCUGUAGCAUGAUGAUGUUCUGCAGCAGCCUUGCUCUUCACGUGGCUCCGUAGGUCCUUAAACUUCCUCAGAGCUACCCACUCGGCUGACUGCGUUCACACGUGCAGCCACCUCCUCCCAAGUCUUGUUCUUUUCUGUGGUGAUUCUAUUGUCCAGCCUUUCCAGAAUCACUGCAGCCUGAUUUUACACCUCCUCCACCAAGGCUAAGGUCUCGGUGUCAGUGAACCAAGGUCUUAUUUUCUUAGGAGGUUUGCUGGCCAUGACUGGAAUACUAUGAUUGGUGGCUGUGGGCACAUAACAGUUUGUAAACAAUGUCUUAUGGCAUUCUUGGUGAUAACACAAAACCUUCCUGUGAUUGGCUGCCUUGCGUGUUACGUUGAAUCAGUGACAUAUCGCCUCCGGCAGCCAAUGAGCACUCUUAGAUGCAUCCUGAUGCUUCCUCCUCUGGGCAGCAAUGACUGCUGCCACUGCUGCUGCUUGAUCAAGGAGUGAGGAUCCACACUUCCAGAUUCUAACAAUGCAACACCAGACAUCCCUGUAAAGGAUUGACAUUGAUGAUUGACAAAUUUAAAACCCUUUGAGGGAAUGAAAUGCAAUAAAACUCAAGUGAAGACA
This is a long non-coding RNA of Scylla paramamosain (green mud crab), 3938 nucleotides long. RefSeq lists it as uncharacterized. NCBI's taxonomy places the organism in Eukaryota, Metazoa, Arthropoda, Malacostraca, Decapoda, Portunidae. The transcript is spliced from 6 exons. The record is from RefSeq and is a predicted model, not a curated record.